Molecule: ribosomal RNA, 497 nt
Filed under: uncultured bacterium
Lineage: Bacteria
Description: partial 16S ribosomal RNA
Rfam family: Bacterial small subunit ribosomal RNA
Source: RNAcentral
GACGAACGCUGGCGGCGUGCCUAAUACAUGCAAGUUGAGCGCUGAAGGUUGGUACUUGUACCAACUGGAUGAGCAGCGAACGGGUGAGUAACGCGUGGGGAAUCUGCCUUUGAGCGGGGGACAACAUUUGGAAACGAAUGCUAAUACCGCAUAAAAACUUUAAACACAAGUUUUAAGUUUGAAAGAUGCAAUUGCAUCACUCAAAGAUGAUCCCGCGUUGUAUUAGCUAGUUGGUGAGGUAAAGGCUCACCAAGGCGAUGAUACAUAGCCGACCUGAGAGGGUGGUCGGCCACAGUGGGACUGAGACACGGCCCAAACUCCUACGGGAGGCAGCAGUAGGGAAUCUUCGGCAAUGGACGAAAGUCUGACCGAGCAACGCCGCGGGAGUGAAGAAGGUUUUCGGAUCGUAAAACUCUGUUGGUAGAGAAGAACGUUGGUGAGAGUGGAAAGCUCAUCAAGUGACGGUAACUACCCAGAAAGGGACGGCUAACUACGUG